GACGAACGCUGGCGGCAUGCCUAACACAUGCAAGUCGAGCGAGCAGAUCCCUUCGGGGUGAAGCUAGCGGCGGACGGGUGAGUAACACGUGGGCAACCUACCUCAUAGAGGGGAAUAGCCUUCCGAAAGGAAGAUUAAUACCGCAUAAGAUUGUAGCUUCGCAUGAAGCAGCAAUUAAAGGAGCAAUCCGCUAUGAGAUGGGCCCGCGGCGCAUUAGCUAGUUGGUGAGGUAACGGCACACCAAGGCGGCAAUGCGUAGCCGACCUGCGGGGGUGAUCGGCCACAUUGGGACUGAGACACGGCCCAGACUCCGACGGGAGGCAGCAGUGGGGAAUAUUGCACAAUGGGGGAAACCCUGAUGCAGCAAUGCCGCGUGAGUGAUGACGGCCUUCGGGUUGUAAAGCUCUGUCUUCGGGGACGAUAAUGACGGUACCCGAGGAGGAAGCCACGGCUAACUACGUGCCAGCCGCCGCCGUAA
Molecule: ribosomal RNA, 478 nt
Filed under: uncultured bacterium
Lineage: Bacteria
Description: partial 16S ribosomal RNA
Rfam family: Bacterial small subunit ribosomal RNA
Source: RNAcentral